CAGCCGCCGCGGUAAUACGUAGGUGGCAAGCGUUAUCCGGAAUUAUUGGGCGUAAAGCGCGCGUAGGCGGUUUUUUAAGUCUGAUGUGAAAGCCCACGGCUCAACCGUGGAGGGUCAUUGGAAACUGGAAAACUUGAGUGCGGAAGAGGAAAGUGGAAUUCCAUGUGUAGCGGUGAAAUGCGCAGAGAUAUGGAGGAACACCAGUGGCGAAGGCGACUUUCUGGUCUGUAACUGGCGCUGAUGUGCGAAAGCGUGGGGAUCAAACAGGAUUAGAUACCCUGGUAGUCAAGGGCG
RNAcentral lists this ribosomal RNA (294 nucleotides) under uncultured Staphylococcus sp. Its description in RNAcentral is "partial 16S ribosomal RNA". It matches the Rfam family "Bacterial small subunit ribosomal RNA", at positions 509 to 802 of the family's 1533-position model. Lineage: Bacteria; Bacillati; Bacillota; Bacilli; Caryophanales; Staphylococcaceae. The record is from RNAcentral.